Molecule: long non-coding RNA, 2042 nt
Organism: Talpa occidentalis (Iberian mole)
Lineage: Eukaryota; Metazoa; Chordata; Mammalia; Eulipotyphla; Talpidae
Exons: 4
Source: RefSeq, a predicted model, not a curated record
UUUUCUAUCUAGUUCAAAAAGAAAGUCACACCAGUGCCCCUGUUAAAUCCUCAUUUAAUUAAGAGUACCUCCUGAACACAUCGCAGUUCUUCAGGGAUCAAGCGAAUGGCUCUCCUUUUAUACAUGAUUCUUCUGAAUCUGAGACUUCAGACAAGUCCAAAGCAACAGAUAUAGGUGGGGCCUGAGAUUCCUGAUCUCCUAAGAAGCACAGAAGGAUUCUUAGAGCAGCAAUUUUGGGAAACACUGGUUAAGAAGCUGAGAUUUAGAGUCAUCAAAUCAAGUGUCCAAAGUCCAGAAAUUAUCAAGUGGCAAAGCAGAUCUAUAUCCAGGCAAGCUCACUCCAGAGCUCUCUCUUAAGCACAGAAGUAAGAUUAGCAUCCAUUUAAGAAACUCAAGGAGUCCUGCUGGCACCUGGGAUGGGGUUGCAAGCAAACCCACUGACUUGACAGUUGUGUGACUGAGCCGUUAGGUCUGCAGAGGGAAGAUGUACUACUUUGGGUUUGGCCAUUCUUGCCUGCAGUGUGAGCUGGAGGCAACACUCCUCUCAGGGAGUCUGUGUUUAAUGUCUAAAUAAAUAAUCCAAAUGUAAAUUGCAAUCCUGCGGUGCCCUCCUCCCUUUUCCGUUUCGGGAUAUAAAAAGCAUCCACAAACAUAUGCUCCUGCCGGAUUUUUCUUUGUGGUGCCCUCUCUACGAAGACACUUAGAAAAAACAACAACCCACGGUCUCCUUUGGAGCCUGCCUCUCUGGUUUGUCAUUUGCAAAGACAGAAAUAUUCCAUGCGUGGUUGAAGGUGGUACCAGGAGGUGGGGGGAGAUUUUUCUUUGGCUGCCCAGUUUAUAUAUUAAUGAGGGCCUGGGGUUGAAAGAAGAGCUCAGAGCUUUGCACAUCAGAGCUGUCCACUUCCACUCAGUAGUGAAUUACACGAACUGCUCCCACAGGGGUGGAGAGUGACAGGUUGUUUUUAACUAGUGUCCUAAGGAUGGACCAUUGUGUUUCCUCCCACACCAUCUCCUGCCUCUGGGGUUAUUGCCAUUAUAAUUAAUACUGAUUAUAAUGCUGUGGAAUUUUAAGUGCCAAUUUCAGUUGUGGCUUAAGUAAAAAGUAAACAAUAAAAGCAACAUGUUAAAGCUAUCAGAAGAUUUUUAAUUUGGUAAAGGAGCAAACUUUCUCUUUACUGAGGUUCCAGAUCUGUGUGGAAAUUGCUACUAUAGCAAGAAACAAGCAAACAGAUAAAUAAAAAUAUAGCAUGUUCCUUUUUCUUCUUGGAAUUAGAGAGUAGCAUUGUCAAUUAUGGUCGAGGUACCAGAACACACAAUGAAUCCUUCUGGGAUUUUUUUGAAUUUAAUAUAAAAAGUUAUGCAAACAGCAAUAUUAUGAUCUGAAUACAAAAGACUGUGUCAGCUGGAAGUUCAGCACAGGAUUUCUGAUUGUAUGAAUGACAUAUCUGUGUAUGCUGUCUCCCAGCUAGUCUUUGAAUAUUAACUCUUGAAGCCGAGUAAGUGCUUCCCAGAUAACUAAAUGACCUUUGCUUAUUUGAAAUGGAAAUGAACUGAACUGAACUGAAAUAAAUAUUAAGUCUAACUGGUAGCCAGUAAAUAAUUACAUUCCAAUGUUUUCCACAAAUUUAUACUUUCACAACUUUUUCUAAGAUGGACUUAAUCUUAAAAAAAAGUGUAUUAAUGAUGGUUCUCUUCUUGAAGAUGCCUGUAUCUUACAGAAAAAAAUGGUUUCUUUCCCUAUUUCUGUACUGAUCAGUAGAGCACUUGAUGAAAAAAAUAAAGAAAAAAUUGUGUGCCAGGAUUUAUGGGGGAUAACAUUUAAAAUUCACUCAGAUACCCAAUGCUGUUUUUUUUUUUUUUCAUCUUUCCUGUUUUUAGGUAAGUGUAGGGGCAGGAUGGGCACAGAGCAGGUUUUCUUUGUGAUUCGAGCAGACUGGUAAAGGUGGCGUGCUGGAGCCUUUCUCAGGCUUUUAUUGAGCUUUUACAUGCAGUGCAGCAACCAGGUACAAGGCAGGCAGGGAUGGCAGGGGGCCAGGAGGCCA